Molecule: transfer RNA, 86 nt
Filed under: Hungatella hathewayi
Lineage: Bacteria; Bacillati; Bacillota; Clostridia; Lachnospirales; Lachnospiraceae
Also listed under: 1 other name
Description: tRNA-Leu
Rfam family: tRNA
About the family: Transfer RNA (tRNA) molecules are approximately 80 nucleotides in length. Their secondary structure includes four short double-helical elements and three loops (D, anti-codon, and T loops).
Source: RNAcentral
GCCGGCUUGUCGGAAUGGCAGACGAGGUGGACUCAAAAUCCAUUGGUGGCAACACCGUGCGGGUUCAAGUCCCGCAGCCGGCACUA